RNAcentral lists this ribosomal RNA (492 nucleotides) under uncultured bacterium. Its description in RNAcentral is "partial 16S ribosomal RNA". It matches the Rfam family "Bacterial small subunit ribosomal RNA", at positions 29 to 507 of the family's 1533-position model. The record is from RNAcentral.
AGUGAACGCUGGCGGUAGGCCUAACACAUGCAAGUCGAACGGCAGCACAGUAAGAGCUUGCUCUUACGGGUGGCGAGUGGCGGACGGGUGAGGAAUACAUCGGAAUCUACUUUUUCGUGGGGGAUAACGUAGGGAAACUUACGCUAAUACCGCAUACGACCUACGGGUGAAAGCAGGGGAUCUUCGGACCUUGCGCUAUUGAAUGAGCCGAUGUCGGAUUAGCUAGUUGGCGGGGUAAAGGCCAACCAAGGCGAAGAUCCGUAGCUGGUCUGAGAGGAUGAUCAGCCACACUGGAGCUGAGACACGGUCCAGACUCCUACGGGAGGCAGCAGUGGGGAAUAUUGGACAAUGGGCGCAAGCCUGAUCCAGCCAUACCGCGUGGGUGAAGAAGGCCUUCGGGUUGUAAAGCCCUUUUGUUGGGAAAGAAAAGCAGCAGGUUAAUACCCCGCUGUUCUGACGGUACCCAAAGAAUAAGCACCGGCUAACUUCGUG